This 395-nucleotide unclassified non-coding RNA is filed under the name soil metagenome. RNAcentral describes it as "partial contains 5.8S ribosomal RNA, internal transcribed spacer 2, and large subunit ribosomal RNA". The stretch from base 1 to 122 matches the Rfam family "5.8S ribosomal RNA", at positions 35 to 154 of the family's 154-position model. The record is from RNAcentral.
GAUGAAGAACGUAGCGAAAUGCGAUACUUGGUGUGAAUUGCAGAAUCCCGUGAACCGUCGAGUCUUUGAACGCAAGUUGCGCCCGAAGCCAUCAGGUUGAGGGCACGUCUGCCUGGGCGUCACAUAUCGUUGCCCAAUGCCUAUUGCAGUGCAAUAGGAAUUUCUAGGGCGAAUGAUGGCUUCCCGUGAGCGUUGUUGCCUCGCGGUUGGUUGAAAAUCGAGUCCUUGGUAGGGUGUGCCAUGGUAGAUGGUGGUCGAGUUAGAACGAUACCGAUCAUGUGCAUGCUCCCCAAAAUAUGGCCUCUAUGACCCACACGCGUCUUUUGACGCUCAUGACGAGACCUCAGGUCAGGCGGGGCUACCCGCUGAAUUUAAGCAUAUCAAUAAGCGGAGGA